RNAcentral lists this ribosomal RNA (545 nucleotides) under uncultured Thermoplasmata archaeon. RNAcentral's name for it is "bacterial SSU rRNA". It matches the Rfam family "Archaeal small subunit ribosomal RNA", at positions 339 to 886 of the family's 1478-position model. Lineage: Archaea; Methanobacteriati; Thermoplasmatota; Thermoplasmata. The record is from RNAcentral.
GCGCGAAACCUCUGCAAUGCGGGAAACCGUGACAGGGGGAUCCCAAGUGCUCAUGCAUUGCAUGGGCUGUUCUUUGGUCUAAGUAACCAGAGGAGUAAGGGCUGGGCAAGACCGGUGCCAGCCGCCGCGGUAAUACCGGCAGCUCAAGUGGUAGCCGCGAUUAUUGGGCCUAAAGCGUUCGUAGCCGGAUAAGUAAGUCUUUGGUUAAAUCCUGCGACUUAACCGUGGGAAAUCUAGAGAUACUGCUUGUCUUGAGACCGGGAGAGGUUGGAGGUACUCCCAGGGUAGGGGUGAAAUCCUGUAAUCCUGGGGGGACCACCUGUGGCGAAGGCGUCCAACUGGAACGGGUCUGACGGUGAGGGACGAAACCUAGGGGAGCGAGCCGGAUUAGAUACCCGGGUAGUCCUAGGCGUAAAUGAUGCGAGUUAAGUGUGGGGGCAUCCACGAGAUGGCCCUGUGCUGUAGGGUAGCCGUUAAACUCGCCGCCUGGGGAGUACGGUCGCAAGGCUGAAACUUAAAGGAAUUGGCGGGGGAGCACCACAAGG